GAUCUAAGAGGGUUAUGCCAAAAAUUAUAUAUUUGCUGUAUUAGAUGCUAUAGUAACUACGUUUAAGUUUCCUCCUCAGCACUGAGUCCAGACCCUUGAAUUCUUAAGAACAGUUAAGCCACAGCCCAAACCCAGGAUUUUAUAUAAACUCAAAACAAAAGCACGAGAGCUAAACCCAGGUAAUGAUUGUUCUUAAAAGUCCUGCUUCUAACAUGACCUUAUAUUCGCAUCAAACACAUUAUCUUUCUGUUCAAGAAGACAAUGUAGUGGAGCAUUCUGGAAUUUAAUGAUUUUCUACUUUCGCUUUUUUCCGAAUCGUACAGUAAGAAAGUGCUGCCCACAGAGAUGUUAUUAUUACAUACAACCCAGCUGGGAGGCUUAGUGUCAAACUAAAGGUGGAGAAACAGAAGAGAUGCUAACGGCACUGUCAUCACUGAAUUGGUCCUAAACCAGAGGAAUGCAAUACAAAAUGCUAUUGACGCUGUUGAAAUAGCAGGGUCUUAAGACACUGUAAAAGUACUCUACGAUAGCUCUA
Molecule: long non-coding RNA, 535 nt
Filed under: Bos taurus (domestic cattle)
Lineage: Eukaryota; Metazoa; Chordata; Mammalia; Artiodactyla; Bovidae
Description: long non-coding RNA NONBTAT000455
Source: RNAcentral